UUUCCACUCAACCAUUAUUACCUAUGUUUUAUUUUCCCAUAAAACAUCUUCCCCUUAAAAUUCAAAGUUGUUCAUUCACUCCAUCCUUCAAACCCUAAAUCUCUUCCAAGCUUCAAGUCUCCAUUUUCGCAGGAAAAUUAACUUAUCAGCUUUACAAGAAAAUUUUUUCGGGUCCAAGAUGGGAGCUCUUGGAGAAGAGAGGAGCCAAGAAGCAAAUAUUGAUAUGGGCAUCAACUAAUGAAUUAAUUGGAUGCGGCUCAACUGUAGUAGCGAUCAAAGAGUUGAAUGUCUCGAUUGAAAGCUCAAGCUCUACAGAAAACUGGAAGCGAAUGUAACAGCAAGAAAAAUACAACUUCAUAAUGGACAAUGUUUGACAUACUGGUGCCACGGUGGCAGUGACAUUGGUUUUGUUUUGGUUUAUAAUUUAGAGAGGGAAAAGAAAAGCGGUGUGAUGCUAUCUCUAUUCAGUAGGAUAUAAUCAUUUUUAUUAAGGUUGUGUUUGAAUAAGCAACUUAUAUAUAAGCGCUUAUAGAUAAGUAGAUUUAAUAAAUUAUCUUGGCGAGCUUAUGAAAAAAGCUGAGAAAUGAAUACAGUUUAUAAACAUGUCACGGGUUCCUUUCCAUUGGCGUGUAUAUGUUUUCAUUAAUAUGGAUAAAUUUUGUAAGGUUGGAAUUUAAAUAUUUAUUUGUGAUAACCAGUGUAAUGUUUUUCUACUUAAUUGCUUCUACCAUUGUAAUAUUGAUCUGUGAUUAACAGUGUAAUGUAGAAGUUAUGCAUUAUAUUCCCUCAGAAUUCUUCCACUGUGUUGAUCUAAAGUUCAAUAUCCCAAUAAUUUACUAUCUUGAAUUGACAUUAACAGAAGCUUAGACUUGAAAUAAACAGGAACAUCAAAACUUCUCCUCUAGACUAUCUCUGCAGGACUAUUGUUUUUUAUGUGCCAGGAUCUUCUCAUGUCUUCUCAUUGCCAAAAGAAUGUACAAGGCAGUUCCAAUCGGCAGCAAAUUUUAGAUGAUGAGCAGGAGACGGCAAAACAGAAGGACAUGGAUGGCACUGAGAAUGGUCCUGGAAUAAAAUGUGCUUCCAAUGAAUAAGAAGAGUACAAUGUAUUGAAACAGAAGACACUUGAGAUAUGGUCUUUUGAGAAAAACACAAAGCUAAUUACUAGCUUCACCAUCUAAGUCAAUUGGGAAUUUUAAUCUGUUUAUAUCUUGAAAGAAAAUCCCAAUUGGAUGAUUUUUGAAGAUUCAGCUUGGAAUAUUAUGGA
Molecule: long non-coding RNA, 1264 nt
Organism: Vicia villosa (hairy vetch)
Lineage: Eukaryota; Viridiplantae; Streptophyta; Magnoliopsida; Fabales; Fabaceae
Exons: 3
Source: RefSeq, a predicted model, not a curated record